This 141-nucleotide unclassified non-coding RNA is filed under the name uncultured Dothideomycetes. RNAcentral describes it as "sequence contains ITS2". The record is from RNAcentral. Lineage: Eukaryota; Fungi; Ascomycota; Dothideomycetes.
AAAACCAUCAAGCCUGGCUUGGUCUUGGGCGCGGUCUCGGGACUCGCCCGCAACCCGUCGGCGGUGCCUGCUCGGCCCUGAGCGUAGCAAGACUCUCGCUCGGGGGCCGCGGCGGCGCCCGCCCGGAGAACACACCUCAAA